This 168-nucleotide ribosomal RNA is filed under the name Pirateolea argocyma. Its description in RNAcentral is "partial 12S small subunit ribosomal RNA". Lineage: Eukaryota; Metazoa; Arthropoda; Insecta; Lepidoptera; Noctuidae. The record is from RNAcentral.
AAAAUUUAAAUUUAAUAUACUAAAAUAGUAAAUAAAUAUUUAUUUAAACUUAAAUAAUUUGGCGGUAUUUUAGUUCAUUUAGGGGAAUCUGUUUAAUAAUUGAUAUUCCACGAAUAAAUUUACUUAAUUUUUUUUUUUAUUUUGUAUAUCGUUGUUAUAAAAAUAUUU